UAGGGAAUCUUCGGCAAUGGGGGCAACCCUGACCGAGCAACGCCGCGUGAGUGAAGAAGGUUUUCGGAUCGUAAAGCUCUGUUGUAAGAGAAGAACGUGUGUGAGAGUGGAAAGUUCACACAGUGACGGUAACUUACCAGAAAGGGACGGCUAACUACGUGCCAGCAGCCGCGGUAAUACGUAGGUCCCGAGCGUUGUCCGGAUUUAUUGGGCGUAAAGCGAGCGCAGGCGGUUUAAUAAGUCUGAAGUUAAAGGCAAUGGCUUAACCAUUGUUCGCUUUGGAAACUGUUAAACUUGAGUGCAGAAGGGGAGAGUGGAAUUCCAUGUGUGGCGGUGAAAUGCGUAGAUAUAUGGAGGAACACCGGUGGCGAAAGCGGCUCUCUGGUCUGUAACUGACGCUGAGGCUCGAAAGCGUGGGGAGCAAACAGG
RNAcentral lists this ribosomal RNA (429 nucleotides) under bacterium. RNAcentral's name for it is "partial 16S ribosomal RNA". It matches the Rfam family "Bacterial small subunit ribosomal RNA", at positions 355 to 776 of the family's 1533-position model. The record is from RNAcentral.